UUCCCUUUGUGAAAACAGACAUCGGUCUGGCUUGCGUAUAUCUGUCCCGCGCGACACCCAAUUCUUCUCCAUUUCAUAUCUUCCGUGGCAUUUCAAUUCCUCAAGUUAGAUCAAGCAUUUCCCUUUUCCUUUCUUCUUCUUAUCUCUGCCAAAAAAGAAAUUUAAAUUCUUCAGCAGAUCUCAUACGAAAAAGCAAAACCAAAGGUAAUGGCAGGGCUGUUCGGAUCGCAAUCCUCUACGGUUGCACCCAUGAUUGUCACCAGCACACCAUCCACAGAUCUCGCCUUGACUAAUUUUGCUUAUUGCUCCCCUUCCGAUCUUCAAAGCUUCGCCGUCCCUGGCUCCAAACUCUUCCUCGCUAACGUCGGGGAUGCCUUCGUUCUUUCUGUUUCUUCUCAUGAAAGCAUACGCAAUGGAUAUAUUGCACUAAAUGCUAUCCAUCGUCGCCUUGCAAAAGUUUCUAAUGGUGACAAUGUAUCAGUGAGCAGAUUUGUUCCCCCUGAAGAUUUUAACCUUGCAUUGCUUAGGGUUGAGCUAGAAUUUGUGAAGAAGGGUACUAAAAAUGAGCAGGUUGAUGCUGUUCUUCUGGCUAACCAGCUUAGAAAGAGGUUUAUCAAUCAGGUUAUGACAGCGGGGCAAAAGGUUACAUUUGAGUAUCAUGGUAAUAACUAUAUUUUCACAAUCAGUCAAGCUCAGCUGGAGGGGCAAGCAGCAGCUAAUGCUCCUGAAAGGGGGAUGAUUUCCAGUGAUACUUACUUUAUCUUUGACGCACAAAAUUCAAGUGGAAUAAAGGUUGUCAAUCAACGUGAAGCUGCUAGUAGUAAUAUCUUUAGGCACAAAGAGUUUAAUCUACAAUCACUAGGUAUUGGUGGCUUAAGUGCAGAGUUUGCCGAUAUAUUUCGAAGAGCUUUUGCCUCUCGUGUCUUUCCUCCACAUGUGACUAACAAGUUGGGAAUUAAGCAUGUUAAAGGGAUGCUACUUUAUGGACCUCCUGGUACUGGCAAAACUCUCAUGGCUCGUCAAAUUGGAAAGAUGUUGAAUGGAAAGGAACCAAAGAUUGUUAAUGGCCCUGAAGUCCUGAGCAAAUUUGUUGGUGAAACUGAGAAGAAUGUUAGAGACCUAUUUGCAGAUGCUGAGAAUGAUCAAAGGACGCGUGGUGAUGAGAGUGAUUUGCAUGUCAUAAUUUUUGAUGAAAUUGAUGCUAUUUGUAAGUCAAGAGGCUCAACUAGAGAUGGUACUGGAGUUCACGACAGCAUUGUGAACCAGCUUCUUACCAAGAUAGAUGGUGUGGAGUCUCUAAACAAUGUUUUGCUUAUCGGAAUGACCAACAGAAAGGAUCUACUUGAUGAGGCCCUUUUGAGGCCAGGACGUUUGGAGGUUCAAGUAGAGAUAAGUCUUCCAGAUGAGAAUGGUCGUUUUCAGAUUCUUCAGAUCCACACAAACAAGAUGAAAGAGAACUCUUUUCUUGCUCCUGAUGUUAACCUUCAAGAACUUGCUGCUCGUACAAAGAAUUACAGUGGAGCAGAGCUUGAAGGUGUUGUGAAAAGUGCGGUGUCUUUUGCUUUGAAUAGACAAGUAAGUAUGGAUGAUCUUACCAAGCCAGUGGAUGAAGAGAACAUUAAGGUUACAAUGGAUGAUUUUCUCAAUGCACUCCUGGAAAUCGUUCCUGCAUUUGGAGCCUCAACUGAUGACCUUGAACAAUGCAGACUUAAUGGCAUGGUGGAUUGUGGUGACCGGCACAAGCACAUUUAUCAGAGAGCCAUGCUACUGGUAGAGCAGGUCAAAGUAAGCAAAGGAAGUCCUCUGGUCACUUGUCUUCUAGAAGGGUCAAGUGGAAGUGGCAAAACAGCAUUGGCAGCUACUGUUGGCAUUGACAGUGAUUUCCCAUAUGUCAAGAUAGUCUCUGCUGAAUCUAUGAUCGGUCUUCAUGAGAGUACAAAAUGUGCUCAGAUUGUCAAGGUAUUUGAGGAUGCGUACAAGUCACCCUUGAGCAUCAUCAUCCUUGAUGACAUAGAAAGGCUACUGGAGUAUGUUGCUAUUGGGCCCCGUUUUUCAAAUAUAAUUUCUCAGACAUUGUUGGUCCUUCUCAAACGUCUUCCUCCUAAGGGGAAAAAACUUCUGGUGUUUGGGACAACCAGUGAGAUUACCUUCUUAGAUUCAGUUGGCAUUUGUGAUGCGUUCUCUGUCACCUACCAUCUUCCUACACUGAAGACAGCUGAUGCAAAGAAGGUUUUGAAACAACUGAACGUAUUUGCUGAAGGAGAUGUCGAUGCAGCUGCAGAAGCCCUGAAUGAUAUGCCUAUCAAGAAGCUGUAUAUGUUGAUUGAGAUGGCAGCGCAAGGAGAGCAAGGUGGAGCAGCAGAGGCAAUCUACUCAGGGAAGGAAAAGAUUAAGAUAUCUCACUUUUAUGAUUGCCUCCAGGAUGUAGUCCGGGUCUAAUUCACACGUUUUGUUCAUUUUUACAAUCUGGUCGUUUUCUCAUACACUCUGCAUACACCUUCAUUUUUCUACUUGGUUUCUCCAUUCCUCUCCCGUCAGUUCCCUUUUUUCUUUGUGUUUGACGAUUUGUAGACAUUGGUUGAAGGUCAUGGGAGAACUUAUGUUGGGAAGUUUUUUUCCGGGCCUUUGUUUGCUGCAGCUGCAUUUCAGCUCUUGAUAAUCCCAAAGGUGCUUUCAGCUCAGUUGAUCCAAUGCAUGAGGUAGGCCUAAAAACAACGCCGCGGUGUAAAAUGAAGUACAUUUGUCUUCAUCUUCUGUGUUGCAUUGAAUAUAGUUUAUUUUUCAGUAAACAUCUGAACGUAUAUAUCUGUAGAUUUCGAUCCAUAUUAUUCCAUGCAUAAACAAUGUUAAAUAGCCCA
This is an RNA transcript of Gossypium raimondii (Peruvian cotton), 2858 nucleotides long. It is a transcript of the gene named vesicle-fusing ATPase, with no coding region annotated. The record is from RefSeq and is a predicted model, not a curated record. The transcript is spliced from 22 exons. Lineage: Eukaryota; Viridiplantae; Streptophyta; Magnoliopsida; Malvales; Malvaceae.